Molecule: non-coding RNA, 75 nt
Organism: Myotis brandtii (Brandt's bat)
Lineage: Eukaryota; Metazoa; Chordata; Mammalia; Chiroptera; Vespertilionidae
Source: Rfam
GGUGGUUCUUGGGUGAUGCACCCUGGAAUCAGGCUCCCUCCUCUCUGGUUCUGGGUGCGUUAACUGAGAACUGCA